UCAUUAGUCUUUUAAUUGAAGGCUUGUAUGAAUGGUUGGACGAGGAAUAAACUGUUUCAAUUAUAUAAAUUGAAUUUAACUUUUAAGUGAAAAGGCUUAAAUUUUCUAAAAAGACGAUAAGACCCUAUAAAUCUUUACAUUAAAAUUUACAGUUAUUUAAUUUGUAAGUUCAAAAGAAAAUGUUAAUUUAAUGUUAUGUUGGGGAGACAAAAAUAUAAUAAAAAUAACUAUUUUUUUUAUAAACAAAAAUUAUUGAAUUAAAGAUCCUUUUUAAAGAUUAAAAAAUUAAGUUACUUUAGGGAUAACAGCGUUAUUCUUUUUGAGAGUUCCCAUCGAAAAAAGAGUUUGCGACCUCGAUGUUGAAUUAAAAUUUCUUUAUGGUGCAGCAGCUAUAGAAGAAAGUCUGUUCGACUUUUAAAAUUUU
Molecule: ribosomal RNA, 424 nt
Filed under: Diogenes arguinensis
Lineage: Eukaryota; Metazoa; Arthropoda; Malacostraca; Decapoda; Diogenidae
Description: partial large subunit ribosomal RNA
Rfam family: Archaeal large subunit ribosomal RNA
Source: RNAcentral